Molecule: transfer RNA, 68 nt
Filed under: Francisella tularensis subsp. holarctica
Lineage: Bacteria; Pseudomonadati; Pseudomonadota; Gammaproteobacteria; Thiotrichales; Francisellaceae
Description: tRNA-Phe
Rfam family: tRNA
About the family: Transfer RNA (tRNA) molecules are approximately 80 nucleotides in length. Their secondary structure includes four short double-helical elements and three loops (D, anti-codon, and T loops). Further hydrogen bonds mediate the characteristic L-shaped molecular structure. tRNAs have two regions of fundamental functional importance: the anti-codon, which is responsible for specific mRNA codon recognition, and the 3' end, to which the tRNAs corresponding amino acid is attached (by aminoacyl-tRNA synthetases). tRNAs cope with the degeneracy of the genetic code in two manners: having more than one tRNA (with a specific anti-codon) for a particular amino acid; and 'wobble' base-pairing, i.e. permitting non-standard base-pairing at the 3rd anti-codon position.
Source: RNAcentral
AGCUCAGUCGGUAGAGCAGAGGACUGAAAAUCCUCGUGUCGGCAGUUCGAUUCUGCCUCUGGCCACCA